GAUUUGGAUACUGUCUCGGAGAGGGGCUCGGUGAAAUAGACUUGUCUGUGAAGAUGCGGACUACCUGCACCAGGACAGAAAGACCCUAUGAAGCUUUACUGUAACCUGAAAUUGAAAUUGGACUUUAGUCGCGCAGUAUAGGUGGGAGGCGUUGAAAGUAUUCUUGCGGGAAUACUGGAGCUAUCAGUGAGAUACCACUCUUCUAAUGUUAGAUUUCUAACUUUGAACCAUUAUCUGGUCAAAGAACAGUUUCAGGCGGGCAGUUUGACUGGGGCGGUCGCCUCC
Molecule: ribosomal RNA, 285 nt
Filed under: Asterionellopsis glacialis
Lineage: Eukaryota; Bacillariophyta; Plagiogrammaphyceae; Rhaphoneidales; Asterionellopsidaceae
Description: partial Bacterial large subunit ribosomal RNA
Rfam family: Bacterial large subunit ribosomal RNA
Source: RNAcentral